UCUGGUUGACCCUGCCAGUAGCAUAUGCUUGUCUCUGAGACUAAGCCAUGCAUGUCUAAGUAUAAAUUAAUUUUUACGGUGAAACUGCGGACGGCUCAUUAAAUCAGUUAUAACCUACUUGAUCGUGUGACUUUAUUCGGAUAACCCUAGUAAUUCUAGAGCUAAUACGUGCUAAAAGCCUUAACUUCCAGCAAUGGGGGAAGAAGUGUAUUUAUUAGAAACUAAAACCAAUCAGCUUCGGCUGUUUGAGAUGAUUCAUAAUAACUCGGCAAAUUACGGGAAAAUUCCUGUGAUGAUUCAAACGGAUUUCUGACCUAUCAACUUUAGAUGGCAAAGUAGGGGUUUGCCAUGGUGACAACGGGUGACGGGGAAUUAGGGUUCGAUUCCGGAGAGGGAGCCUGAGAAACGGCUACCACUUCCGAGGAAGGCAGCAGGCGCGCAAAUUACCCAAUGCUAAUUCGGCGAGGUAGUGACAAGAAAUACCAAUGUAGGACCCAACGGGUACUACGUUUGGAAUGAGAACAAUUUAAAAACCUUAACGAGGAACAAUUGGAGGGCAAGUCUGGUGCCAGCAGCCGCGGUAAUUCCAGCUCCAAUAGUGUAUAUUAAAGUUGCUGCGGUUAAAAAGCUCGUAGUUGGAUUACGAAGUGGUGUUUAAAUGUCAUUUUGGUUUGUUUGUCUUUCGGGGCAUUCAGGUCAACUUGGCUUUUACUCACUGUUGUCAUUGUCUUUGCCCAAGGUAUAUGCCUUGUGUGCAUGGCAUUGACCUUCUAUUUUAUGGUAAUGUUGUAUCUUUCGGGGUACAUUCAUUCCAUAUAGUUUACUUUGAAAAAAUUAGGGUGUUUAAAGCAGGCGAAAAGGCUUCGGAAUAUAUUAGCAUGGGAUAAUAGAAUACGAUCUAGGUCGUAAUUUGUUGGUUUCUACGGCUUAGGUAAUGAUUGACAGGGAUAGUUGGGGUCGCUCGUAUUGAGUUGUCAGAGGUGAAAUUCUAGGAUUAACUCAAGACGAACUAAUGCGAAAGCAUUCGGCAAGGAUGUUUUCAUUAAUCAAGAACGAAAGUUGGGGGAUCGAAGAUGAUCAGAUACCGUCGUAGUCUCAACUGUAAACUAUGUCGACCGAGGAUCCGGUAGCGUUACAUGGAUGACCUUCCGGGCACUCUGUGAGAAAUCAUAAGUAUUUGGAUUUCGGGGGGAGUAUGGUCGCAAGGCUGAAACUUAAAGGGAUUGACGGAAGGGCACCACCAGGAGUGGAAUCUGCGGCUUAAUUUGACCCAACACGGGAAAACUUACCAGGUCCGGACACAGUGAGGAUUGACAGAUUGAGAGCUCUUUCUUGAUUUUGUGGGUGGUGGUGCAUGGCCGUUUUUAGUUGGUGGAGUGAUUUGUCUGGUUAAUUCCGUUAACGAACGAGACCUUAACCUAUUAAAUAGCUGCGCGAACCCAGGUUCUUUAACCAUUCUCUCCUUCGGGGGGGCGUGGUAUCAUUAUUUUGCUG
This 1494-nucleotide ribosomal RNA is filed under the name metagenome. RNAcentral describes it as "SSU rRNA". It matches the Rfam family "Eukaryotic small subunit ribosomal RNA", at positions 1 to 1396 of the family's 1831-position model. The record is from RNAcentral.